RNAcentral lists this small RNA (1077 nucleotides) under Oryza sativa Japonica Group (Japanese rice). RNAcentral describes it as "sRNA Os06g0491901". The record is from RNAcentral. Lineage: Eukaryota; Viridiplantae; Streptophyta; Magnoliopsida; Poales; Poaceae.
GGGUGUGUGAGAGAUGGAAGGGGUGUAUGCAAUUGAAGUGGGUGCCAAGAGAGUCCCCUUGCUGCUGGUGGGGGAGUAUUUAUACUCCCACCCACCAAAACUAGCUGUUGGGGGCGAAAUCCCCCAAUUUUGUGUACUGCCGGUCUGACCGGAGGUGUGUGGCCGGUCAGACCGUUCUACUCUACAACGGCUAGUUUUCUAGCCGGCCUGACAUUGGGCUCCAACUGCCUGGCCGGUCAGACCGACAUAGGGUGGCCGAUCAGACCGGCCUCGGCUCGGUCAGACCGCCCCCAGCUCGGUCUGACCGAAUACAGCUCCGGUGGCUCUAGAUCGGCCACUCCAGAGCACGCCUCUCGACUACCAGGGGGCCGGUCAGAUCGGCCUAUAGCCGGCGGUCAGACCAGCCUCUAACCGCCGGUCAGACCGGCAUACAAGCCUUGGUCUGACCGGUCCUGGUCAGUCCACACAGAGACAACAAGCAUUAAGGUGAUGUGAAAUUUGAGUCUAAAUGCGAACACAAGUCUAAAUGCAUAGUGACCUAAUGUGGCAAUUUAAAUCAUCUCUUUGCUAGGUCAUUAACCUUUUUUUAGAGUGUCUAUUUAACUUUCAUGUUUCUUCCCUGAGCGCAGAUGAAAACAGCCGCAGAUAUGUGCGUUAUGUUCGAUUUGAAGCACGGUAAGUGAGCAGAAACGGACAAAGAUUCGUUUAGUUUGGCGUUUGACAUGUGGAAGAAAAAUUCAUGAGGCUUGAUGCACCGAGGGCAUAUAAACCUAAUGUAAGAUUUUGACAUUUCUUUGACCUGGUUGAGGGCAUGCAGACAUUAACGGCGUGAAAGAAAAAAGAUCUGGUGUAUCGAGAAAAACAGGGUUGCCAUGUUUUUCCUACAGUGAUGAAUUUGCGUGAUCUUUGUUUCUUUAUCAGGUUGAUGUUUGUUAGCAGUACUUUUAGCUGGCUGUGUGAAUACAUUUCUCACCUCUGAAAAUUUGGAGGGCAUGAAUCCGGAGCCAUCAUUUAGCAUUUUACUCCGUUGUAAAUUUGUUUACACUAAUCUCCAAUGAAAUGUAUUUACAUUGUCUC